UUUGAUGUCAGCAAAACAUUUGAAUGGUCCCCCCAAUGGGUUGCCAUCUCAUUGAAGUGGCCCAGGGAUGCUAGGGAUCACUGCCCAUAGAACACAGCCUUCAUUAUGAGGUGGUGAAAGCUGAAAUGCUAAAAACAAGAGACUUAUUGUCAGAAGAUUUGGCAAUAUCAGAAAACUGUGAAGAAGGGAAAUAUGUUUGACCACCGGCAUGCUGCACAAGGGGUUAAGUGAUUUGACUAACUUCGUGACUUAAUCAUUAUGGAGGAAUUUAAAAACUGUGUACCUGAGCAAGUUUCCACCUAUCUGAAUGAAUAAAAAUUAGAUCAAGUUGCACAGACUCUGGUGUUAGCUGAUGAAUAUAUGCACACAAAAAGUAGCUUGUUUGCUGAGAAAACCCUGUCACGCCAUAAUGACGUCACUCCAUGUAGGAAAUCCCCCAAAGGCUCAGUCGGUUCAUCAAAGACCAGUACUCCUGCUUCUGGUGGAACGCAGGAGGAUUUGGGAGUCAAAGGGAAAGUGUGUUUCUAUUGUACGAAGCCUGGUCAUGUCAUGGCUGGUUGUAUAUUCCUGAAGAGAAAGAAUAAAUCCUUCAAAGGGGUUUCUCUUUUGAAAGCACCCUUGCCUAUGCCUGGACUUUUGUGAAACAUCACCCCUUGAAAAAGAUCAUGCUGUCCAGGAUUAUGCACCAUUCAUUAUGGUUGUGUACCAUUGGUUUUAUGCCAUUGACCGACGAACCUACUUUUUAAAGACCAGGCAGGAUACUGAGAGAUGCAGAUGGAGCUGAUGAUGCCACGUUCCCAUUGCAGAGAUCCUGGGAACUAUGCUGGUGGGAAGAUGCAGGCUGUUACCAUGGAAACCCUCUUCAAACAGAAAGAGAUGAGGACGCUGCUGACCAUCGCCUAGCAACCAGAUUGGACGAUACCCAUAACUGGGGAUGCUGAGGACCAUUGCAGAACAUCUGAAUUAAAAGAUGCAGGUCAAUAAGCUUUCCUCCAGCUGCAUCAAGCAGUGUGAUCAUUCUGAUGCUGGUGACAACUACGACCUUUUACAACAUGCUAGAUAGCUCGCCUAUUACUGAAAAUGCACCUGUUUAGCUAUUUGGCCUGAUUCCGGGUUUGAAACAUCUGGAAAAGACUUGUGGCUGGACUUUGAGAAGAUCACUGCCAAUUCAACAUGGGUUCUCGACCUGCACAUUGACUGCCUGGUGAGAGUUAGCAGCCUGUGAUUGUGUAUAUAUAUGCUGUGUAAAUAUUCUGUGUCUUUAGAACAGGCACUUUCUUGUGUGUUUGUGAUAAUAAACAUUAGUUUGUCAGUUUUA
Anguilla rostrata (American eel) is the source of this 1318-nucleotide long non-coding RNA. RefSeq lists it as uncharacterized. The transcript is spliced from 2 exons. The record is from RefSeq and is a predicted model, not a curated record. Lineage: Eukaryota; Metazoa; Chordata; Actinopteri; Anguilliformes; Anguillidae.